GUCUUUUAGAAACCUAAAAUUAAAAGUCCGACCUGCCCAGUGAGUAUUUCAACGGCCGCGGUAGCCUGACCGUGCUAAGGUAGCGCAAUCACUUGCCCUUUAAUUGGGGGCUAGUAUGAAUGGUCAGACAAGAGCUUAACUGUCUUAAGGAGACGCAUGAAAAUUAACCUUUAGGUGCAGAGGCCUAAAUAAAAGUGAAAGACAAGAAGACCCUAUCGAGCUUUAAUUUCGUUUCCUUCUAAAAAGGCGUAUAAAUUUUUAUUGGGGCAAUAAGAGAGCAUACCUAGCCUCUCCCCUUUCUUCAGAUAAACCAACUUCUUACGAUACAUUAAAAAUUAUCCUAGAUACCAGCUACCGUAGGGAUAACAGACUAAUUUCCCUUAAGAGUUCACAUUGACAGGGAAGCUUGGCACCUCGAUGUUGGCUUAAGAUAACAGCUAUGAAGCAGCAUUCUAGCACUGUAGGUUUGUUCAACCUUUAAUAUCUUA
Molecule: ribosomal RNA, 488 nt
Filed under: Phascolosoma nigrescens
Lineage: Eukaryota; Metazoa; Annelida; Sipuncula; Phascolosomatiformes; Phascolosomatidae
Description: partial 16S ribosomal RNA
Rfam family: Bacterial large subunit ribosomal RNA
Source: RNAcentral